RNAcentral lists this long non-coding RNA (733 nucleotides) under Mytilus galloprovincialis (Mediterranean mussel). Lineage: Eukaryota; Metazoa; Mollusca; Bivalvia; Mytilida; Mytilidae. The record is from RNAcentral.
AAAUAAAAAGCAUAAGAACCGGUGAAAACUAAAGUAAAUAACAGUUGUCCUUUGAAGUCUCAACUACAUUUCCUUUUAGAUAGACUAGAAGGACUUAAAAAGGUAUAAUCUGCAAGAAAAUCCUAACUACUACAUUUUAAUUUGAACAAAUUGAAGGUUUAUCCACUUAUGUCUUUUUCUGUAUUACUUGUGCUGCGGCAUGGAUAUCUGACUAAUUGACAUAUUCGAGGAUGGUAAAGGGGGUUCUUAACACGGAAACACGUGAAAUAAAAAUUAAAAAAAACCACUGCACUGAAAAUAAAAAUUUGGAUAAAGGAAGCACGAAAAAUUAAAUCAUGAAUAUUAUUAAGGAAAAAAGUACUAGAAGUUAAUACUCAGUCGUUAUUGGAGAUCACACAGUCAUGAUAAUGGACACGAAGACCCUGCAGUCACCUUUUCGCUUCGCUUCCGCUUGUUGCAUCCGAAUCGUGGAAAAGAUAACUUGAUCGCAAUUAAUAUCCUGGGAACACAUAAUUUAAAACAAUCUCCCGACUGGACUUCGAAUUUAGUCCUGGUUUACUUUUUUUUUAUCUUGAAUGUUGGACUAGCACGAGAAAUUAAAGAGUACACAGACGAAACACGGAAAAUAAAUAAGAGGAAACAAAAAUAAUGCAUGUCGAACCAAUUACGAGAAAUAAAACGCUAAAACACGUGAAAUAAAAAGGCCAUAAAUGCAAAUAACUUUUUACCACCC